GGGGGGUCUAUCAUGCAGUCGAGCGAUGACGAGGAGCUUGCUCCUCUGAUUUAGCGGCGGACGGGUGAGUAACACGUGGGUAAUCUGCCUGUAAGACGGGGAUAACUCCGGGAAACCGGGGCUAAUACCGGAUAAUAAGAAGAAACGCAUGUUUCUUUUUUGAAAGUCGGUUUCGGCUGACACUUACAGAUGAGCCCGCGGCGCAUUAGCUAGUUGGUGAGGUAACGGCUCACCAAGGCGACGAUGCGUAGCCGACCUGAGAGGGUGAUCGGCCACACUGGGACUGAGACACGGCCCAGACUCCUACGGGAGGCAGCAGUAGGGAAUCUUCGGCAAUGGGCGAAAGCCUGACCGAGCAACGCCGCGUGAGCGAUGAAGGCCUUCGGGUCGUAAAGCUCUGUUGUUAGAGAAGAACAAGUACGAGAGUAACUGCUCGUACCUUGACGGUACCUAACCAGAAAGCCACGGCUAACUACGUGCCAGCAGCCGCGGUAAUACGUAGGUGGCAAGCGUUAUCCGGAAUUAUUGGGCGUAAAGCGCGCGCAGGCGGUCUCUUAAGUCUGAUGUGAAAGCCCACGGCUCAACCGUGGAGGGUCAUUGGAAACUGGGAGACUUGAGUGCAGGAGAGAAAAGUGGAAUUCCACGUGUAGCGGUGAAAUGCGUAGAGAUGUGGAGGAACACCAGUGGCGAAGGCGGCUUUUUGGCCUGUAACUGACGCUGAGGCGCGAAAGCGUGGGGAGCAAACAGGAUUAGAUACCCUGGUAGUCCACGCCGUAAACGAUGAGUGCUAGGUGUUGGGGGGUUCCACCCUCAGUGCUGAAGUUAACACAUUAAGCACUCCGCCUGGGGAGUACGACCGCAAGGUUGAAACUCAAAGGAAUUGACGGGGGCCCGCACAAGCAGUGGAGCAUGUGGUUUAAUUCGAAG
This 927-nucleotide ribosomal RNA is filed under the name uncultured prokaryote. RNAcentral's name for it is "bacterial SSU rRNA". It matches the Rfam family "Bacterial small subunit ribosomal RNA", at positions 41 to 956 of the family's 1533-position model. The record is from RNAcentral.